This 240-nucleotide long non-coding RNA is filed under the name Elaeis guineensis (African oil palm). Its description in RNAcentral is "long non-coding RNA (EGUI_LNC021374)". The record is from RNAcentral. Lineage: Eukaryota; Viridiplantae; Streptophyta; Magnoliopsida; Arecales; Arecaceae.
GGCAUGGUCGUCUGUAAAGUUGAAGUAGCUAGGGGAAGAAUUAGAAUUACGUUUCACUUUGUAAUCAUUUGGUGGUGAAACUUGCAUGAUCAAUAACUCUUUAUUUUAUUUAUUUAUUUUGAUUGAAGAGAAUGGGUUAGGAAUUUCCCACUGCAGUAGCGAUAUUUUUUAAAACAAAAAGAUUAGAUUAUUACAAGAUGGCCGGGAAUGGAAAAGAACGUACAUGGAGAAGAAAUAACA